GGAAUCGAGGGCAUUUCUGCCUCUGCUGAAGCAAGUUCACAUUUAAUAAUCAAAUUCUUGGCAGGAAUAUUUCUGCAGCCUGUGUCAGUGGAGCAUGUACGAGCUUAGAAAGGAAGUUUAUAUAAUUAUCUCAUUAUCUAAUUUCAAUAAUAAAAUAAUUGAGUUGCCUAAAUGCCUAUCAGUGGCAAACCAAUGGGAACAGUGGGUCUGUGGAUGUGGAGAGAAACCCAAACUCAUCAGUGUGAUGGAAUCUGCCUGAUCUCUGAACUGCUCUCCUUCCUGGCCAAUAGGAAGAAGAUGGUUUGUACUGGUGAAUCUCUGCUGAGGGUGGAAGGAGCCAAGAACUUCCAUAACUGCCCCUACAAAGGAUUCCCACAGAGCUUUGUUUUGUGUGACUGUGGAAAAAGAGGUGGAUUUGUGUUGCCUGUAAGCUCAUCCCAUCACUGCUGAGCGCUUUGUUUAUCCAUUCUCCAGGAAAGAUGCACUGUGCUGUCAUGUUUGAUUGUUAGGAGGUUUUAUGAGGUCUCUGCUGGAAUAACUUUAAGGUUGUUCUGUCCUGAGGCAGGAGCACCAAGGCUCUCCUGCUCUCGCUGGGGCGUGUGGAACACUGAGCUGCCAUGAACUGAACUCUUCAGCGUGCAGAGAACUGUCCCAGUGAGCAGAGCUGUGCUCAUUUACUCCCUGCAGAGAAAUCACAUUUGCUCCCACAGCAUUUUCUCUUGGGAGGAGCAGUUAUUGGCUUGUGUCACAAGCAUCCUGUCUCUCCUCGGUGAUUUAUUCCUCCAGGCACACACGGAUCCCUUUCACCGCUCAGGGAUCCAAAUUCCACUCCCAUCCACUGCAGGAGUGUGUGGGGCUGUGAGCACAGAAAUUGCUCUUGGGUAUCAGUUCCAGUUCAUCUGGUUUUGUUUCUGGUGCAGUGCUGCAGAGUGUGGUGUGUGUGUACAAACACACACGUGCUUGCAGGGAUAAAAGGCCUCAGCAGCCUCCUGUAUCCAUUAGCUGACCCAAAUUCUGCCCAGACUUGCAGAGCCUGUCAGGAUAACCAGAAUAGCAGUAGAUAAUCAGAAUGGCAAAAUUCCCCUUCUUCUUUUACCUGCUGCAGCUGGUUUGAGGGCAGUAUAUUUCUAUAAGUAUUUUAUAUAUAAAUAAUAGUCAGUAUUCUAUUAGCCUGUACAUUAUUAUGCAUAGGGUAACAUUUUUCUUGUUUUAAGGGUGAAUAAAACAAUCAAAUUCAAGACA
Molecule: long non-coding RNA, 1242 nt
Filed under: Parus major (Great Tit)
Lineage: Eukaryota; Metazoa; Chordata; Aves; Passeriformes; Paridae
Description: lncRNA (ENSPMJG00000004450.1)
Source: RNAcentral